UUCAUAUUUGUUAUUUUAUAUAAAAGUAUAUAUUAUUGGCAUAUGGUUAAGUUCAAGUUUAUUUUUUUGUUCCUUAAAAAAGUUAAAUUUAAAAGUUGAAUAUAAAGAAAGUUUAAUAUGGACAUAUACAUAUAUAUUUGUAUUCUCUUGUUAAUAAAUUUUAUUAUUUAUUAUUAAUAUAAGAAAUUCUUGGCAUAUGAGAAUAAAACAUUGUCCAUAUUAAAUUAAUAUAAAACAUGCAUCACGUGAUAUUUGUUAUUUCGUUGUUUCAAAUUAUAAGGUAAUGUAUAUAAUGAAUGUACACAUAAUAUGUAUAAUUAUAUAUAUAUAUAUAUAUAUAUAUAUAUAUUAUAUAUAUAGAAAUGUUGUGCAUAAGGUAUUCAUAUAUUUCUUGAAAAAUAUGUAUACCUUCCUUUUUAUUGUUUAACAUUAUAAUUUUUUUUAUGUAACUUCAUUUUUUUUUUUUUAAAUUCAAUGGAAAAAUAAAAUAAUUGUAAAAAUAUAGAGAUGAUGUUCUAUCAAACGAUAUAAUAAGCAUAUCACAUAUAAAUUAUUAUGUUUGUCAUAUAAAUUGUUAUGUAUGAAAUAUUAAAUAUAUUGUAUAUAUAUAUAUAUAUAUAAUAUAACCUUUAAAAUAUAUACAUUUUUUAAAUAAAUAAUAUACAUAUUACUACAUAUAUAGAAUUUUAUUUAAAAAAAUAAUUUCCAUAUCGCAAUAUUUUUUUUUUACACACAAAGUAAUAUGCACUUCCAAUGAUAUAUAUAAUAUAUAUAACAUAUUUUAUUUAUGUACAUUUUAUAUAUAUAUAUAUAUAUAUAUAUAUAUAUAUAUAUAUAUUUUAACAAAAUGUAAAAAUACUAUAAUUAACAAAAAAAAAAAAAAAAAAAAAAAAAAAAAAUUUAGUUUUUUUUUAUUUGUUCUUUAUUUUUCGUUAUUAUUUUUUUUCUCUCCAAUUUUUUUUUCUUUUAUCUUUUUUUUUUUUUUUUUUUUUUUUUUUUUUUUUUUUUUUUUUUUUUUUUUUUUGUUUUGGGGUUUUUUAUUUUUUCCCUAAUGUUUUUUUUUUUUUUUUUUAUAAAUAAAUAAGAAAUAAAAAAGAAAAUAGAAGAAAAAAAAUAAAA
Molecule: non-coding RNA, 1119 nt
Organism: Plasmodium reichenowi
Lineage: Eukaryota; Apicomplexa; Aconoidasida; Haemosporida; Plasmodiidae
Source: RefSeq, a predicted model, not a curated record